RNAcentral lists this ribosomal RNA (254 nucleotides) under uncultured bacterium. RNAcentral's name for it is "partial 16S ribosomal RNA". It matches the Rfam family "Bacterial small subunit ribosomal RNA", at positions 524 to 776 of the family's 1533-position model. The record is from RNAcentral.
UACGGGGGGAGCAAGCGUUGUUCGGAUUUACUGGGCGUAAAGGGCGCGUAGGCGGCCUCCGCAAGUCAGUUGUGAAAUCUCCGAGCUUAACUCGGAAAGGUCAACUGAUACUGCGGGGCUAGAGUGCGGAAGGGGCAACUGGAAUUCUUGGUGUAGCGGUGAAAUGCGUAGAGAUGGGGGAGAACACUUGUGGCGAAGGCGGCCAGCUGGACCAGUUCUGACGCUGAGGCGCGAAAGCGUGGGGAGCAAACAGG